Molecule: ribosomal RNA, 468 nt
Filed under: Centipeda dianae
Lineage: Bacteria; Bacillati; Bacillota; Negativicutes; Selenomonadales; Selenomonadaceae
Description: bacterial SSU rRNA
Rfam family: Bacterial small subunit ribosomal RNA
Source: RNAcentral
GACGAACGCUGGCGGCGUGCUUAACACAUGCAAGUCGAACGGAGCGAAUGAAAGCUUGCUUUUAUGAGCUUAGUGGCAAACGGGUGAGUAACACGUAGACAACCUGCCGACAGGAUGGGGACAACAUUCCGAAAGGAAUGCUAAUACCGAAUGAAGCGGAGGAGAGGCAUCUCUCUUCCGUGAAAGAUGGCCUCUGAACAUGCUAUCACCUGUCGAUGGGUCUGCGUCUGAUUAGCUGGUUGGUGAGGUAACGGCUCACCAAGGCGACGAUCAGUAGCCGGUCUGAGAGGAUGAACGGCCACAUUGGGACUGAGACACGGCCCAGACUCCUACGGGAGGCAGCAGUGGGGAAUCUUCCGCAAUGGGCGCAAGCCUGACGGAGCAACGCCGCGUGAGUGAAGAAGGUCUUCGGAUCGUAAAGCUCUGUUGACGGGGACGAACGUGCGAAGGGUGAAUAAUCCUUUGCAA